RNAcentral lists this long non-coding RNA (25807 nucleotides) under Triticum aestivum (bread wheat). RNAcentral's name for it is "long non-coding RNA (TAES_LNC017186)". The record is from RNAcentral. Lineage: Eukaryota; Viridiplantae; Streptophyta; Magnoliopsida; Poales; Poaceae.
AGACUUUGCGAAGUCUCAGUCGACUGAUUCCUAGACACACCCAAAACUAAAAGAACACAACAAGCAACGCGCGAAAAUCAGGCUUGAAGGCAUAUAUGUUCUUAUUAGCCAUACCCGCGCGAGCGGCACGCUGCGCCUCAUCGAUAUGGUACAUGUAUAUGUCCUAUUUUCAGUGUAUAAAAACUGCAAAAAUUAGUGUGCAUAGAAACUACAAGACAACUAUGCUCAGCAGGGAGAUGAACCAGCGCAAGAACACAUACACACCAUGCACGGACAUGUAUGAACACGGAGCCAUCGUACAUCAAGAAGAUUAUACUCGCCCAAACACGCUGGCCUCAAUGAUGAGCCUGCGAUUGGGCUACCAACACAACACAUCUAAGCUCACCACCACCAUCUCUUCUACGACCAUGGUGUCAUGGACACGGAACUGCCCCAUCUCCAUCUCUGACGUGCCUUCCUCCCAUCACUCCAUCGCCGUCCGCACGGUCCACAGUUCUUGCCCAUCAACUUGCAUGCUUCAUCGCCGCCGGAUAUGAUGCACACGGCCUGGCGCAACACCACAUGGGCCUCCGUCGACGGGAGCAGAUGGAGAAACAGAGAAAGCCAUGUCCGACUCCAACGACGACGUGCGGUCCAGGGUUGUUGCCGAGUGGCUGACACAUCGUAGGGCGGAUGCCGCGAUGCUCUACCUGUCAUGUUACCGCCGCGCCCAUGCUACGCUGCAGCGCUGUAGGCUGUAGCCUCCGUCCGCCGCUGCACCACUCCGUUUCUCUGCUUGAUCUACGAUUUUGAGGAGCAAAAGCAUGUGGAGCUGGUGCAUCUGCCACUGCUAAACGACCGUGGCAUGGUGGAGGGCGUGGAUGGCUACACAGGUUGCCCCUCGGCGGCGGACCUCGCGGUGAUCCUCGGCGUUGUCGACGACAAGACGGCUAGCAGGCUGGCCUCGAGCUUGUCCGGCGCCGCUCAGCAUGGAAGUCCGCAGGAGGCGCUGAGACAACACUGUCAUCGUCGUGUCUCAGGAAGAACGAAGGGGCACUGCUAUGGAGAGCUAUCGGCAAGCAGAACAAGGCCUAGAACUGCUGCUACGGGCUCCAUGCUGAGUGGGGGAGAGGCUGGGAAAGAAAUGAAGCGGCCUAAUGGCUGCGGUCGAGAGACGACUGGCAGCGAGCAGAUAGAGGCAACAAAGAAAAGGCAGCCCGCAUGUUAGGAUGAGAAGACCGCGCGAGGCGAGACAAACGGGUUUUAGUCAAUGCAUUUGAGAGGACAGAAUGUGAGCUUUUAUAGGCAUGUUAGACGGUGGACGAUUUGGCCAGAGGCUUUGAGAAAACACGGGAUGAUGGACACGUGAAGAAACGGAAACGAACCGACAAACACUGAUCCACGCGUCAACUCACGUAGCAGCCAACAAUAUCACACCAGAAACCAGGUGAUGCAGCAUGCAUGCGUAUGCAUGUGGUCCAAUCACGGACGAAAACAAAAAUCGAAUAUGCAUGCAGCCCAAUACCCAUAAUUAAGGAGCCCAUCCAGACAAAUGAGACAAAACCGUUACGUGCAUGACUUCACCAUUGGUCGGUCGUCUACGCAGGAGCCGGGCAGCAGCUGAUUGCGCCCAUGCCCCUUGCCGUCUUGUCGCUGUACCUAAGCGCCAAUCCCGUGGCCACCGCUCCGGGCAGCUGCUACUGGUCGGUCAUCCACCCAAGCGGUGUGUUCCAAUGCAUACAAUAGCUGAUUUAACCAUGUACUUUUGUCGCCUUGUAGUUGGACGUAGACCACCAGUUUGCUCAUUUCUUGUUCGUUGGACGUCCCUCUUCUCGCAUGCAAGCACAUACGUAUAUACUAAGCCAAAUCGGCCCAUACAACGGCAAAAGAAAAUUUGAAGCUGCAUUGCCGGCUAGAGCGGCACAUAGAGAAGAAGAAAAAGUGAAAUGCCACACGGUCAAACAACCUACACCCUAGAGCGGCGCAUAGAUAGGGGGCUGUUUUCUUCUCAGCCUAAGGUUGCCAAGCCUAACCUUAGUCAUGUCACAACACUUUAGGCAUGUGUUUAAUUUAUUGCCACACUUGUGGCUUGACACACUUUUCUAGUUAUAUGGCCCACAAGUUAUAGGCUUAAUUUUUUGCCAAAUCUUGCCACACUUGUGGUGGUCAUUUUGUUAGCCACACUUUUUGUGGCAGCCACACUUUGCCUAAGGUUAAUUGUGACAAAGUUAGUCAUGAACCAAACGGGCCAUAAAAGUCCCAAAAACUACACGGUGGAACAACCUCCAAAACCAAAAUGCAAACGCUAGAGCUACACGGGGAUGGGGCAACCACGUUCAAAAAAUUUCAAACAAAAACACACAACCACACAUGCAUUUCUACCCAACGAUAUCCCAAAGAAAUACACGCGUCAAGACACCUAAUGCCCACAAGUUACUUUCAUCCAAGUGGCUAAAUGUCAGGGCAAAAACAUCCCCGGAAAUAGGGGUUUGGGUAUGACAAACGUGUACUAAAUCCUCAAGCACAUCAGACAACAUUGUUGACUUAUUUCUUUACCAUUAAUCAGGAAUUACACCGUUUACUUGAUUGAUGGUACAAUCUCAUUGAAAUCGCUAUAUGUUUUCUAGCCUUUGAUCAAUAAUAUGGUCAAUUGCAGGAAGCAUUGUCUCUGUGGCCAACGGAUCAUCUGCCCCUUUCUCUUAUUCUGAUGCAGGGACAUAGCUAUCCGGAAAUGGUACUCGAAAAAAAGGUAUUCAAAAAGGGUGGAGGGGAGGGGCAGAGGGCAACUGCGAAGAAAUAUGUCAGAUGUUUGAUAGUUAAUAGCAAAUGAUUGACAAGGCAGUCUGAUGAACAGACUUCGGGCUCUGCUGCGGAGCGGGACUCGGCAUUGAGUCCGCCAACCAGCAAAUGAGAUAUAUGAUGUAAUGGGGAGGAGUUGUAAAUCAUAUGCAUCCCAACAUAACAAAAAUUGUCCAAUCUAUUUCUUGCAGGGGACAUAUAUAUUUGUUGUUUAUAUUACGUAACAGUUUAUAGUUUUUUUCCUUUCCAUUUGAACAAAGUUGUAGGUUGCAGACACUCAAACUCUAGAGGAACAAACCGGAGGUCACCUAAGUAAUGCAUUAUCGACAUCUGAUUCUUCAAAAGGUAAACCAAUGCCAUGGAGAGUUCAUGGAAUGUUAGAGAAGUGAUUGAUGUUGAGUUAUCUAGCAGUGUCUGUAAUCAUCCAAAGUGCAUAAAGUACUUUUGACGGCCACUUGAAUACGGUGGAGCCGAAACAACUUGACCAACACUAAAUUAUUUUGCAAUGCCUCUAGGAGUCCACACUUAUCCACUACACACACCCAAGUACAUAAGAGUUUAAUUAUUCUGCAAGAAAACAAAAGAGAACACACAUAGAGUACUAAUUGGAAGGGAUCAUGGACACCAGUCAAUGAUCUAUUGCUACGGUGAAAAAUAUAGUGCAGAAAUGACUCAACAUGAACAUUGGUAGGCAUCAAGAUAGGUUAACUUGUUCCUUGAGUGUGAUUUGCUUCAUCCUUCAAACCCAAAAAGCAACCACAAAUAGCAAAGAAGAAGGUGACAAAUCACCUUCGGAUAUCAAUGAGAGAUUCAAAGAAACACAAAAAAUCAACUCGAACCACAUUUUGUUACUCGAUCGCCAGCUUACUAAUCAAGCUCACCUGUGUUGUCACCACUUCAUGAACUCCCACCAAUGGCUCGCAUCCUUGGUUUCUAUGUGAUCGCAGGUCAUCCGAACACCACCCUCCAAGGUAGGGUUAUAACCUGCACCACUGCAGGCAAAAAGCAAAGAAGAAUGAAUGAAUUAGAGAUGGGGGCUUCCUCACCAAAUAAGCAUGUAAAUACAAUAAGCACAACAUACAUACUAUUGCAUCCCAUCGAAAUGCAAUGCAUGUAGCACACGAAGAAAGAAAUGAGCAUCAUCAUGUUGCGCAGUAGGGUUUGAGUAAGGCUACAAGAGCCAGGUGAAACACUAUUAAUAACACGGUGAGAUUCAGAAAGAUACUAGCCUCAACAACAAACAAGAUUCAGAAAGAUACUUGUUAGGAAUUAACCAAUAGAGCUAAUCCCUGCUUUUGUAAUUAGUAUGUCGGUUGGUAAUUAGCAACCGGCAGCCGUGCCUCGUUUGCACACGCCCCUUGUAACUCUAUGUAUAGACAUCAUCAACAAAUAUUGAAACUGCUGCUGGUUCAUUUGUCCUCUCUCGUGAUUCUCUCUCAAAAGUAGUGAGAGAGCACCUCAUGUUGGGUUUGUCCCAUUGGUUCACAAACUCGCACACACACACACACACACACACACACACACACACACACACACACACACACACACAUUGGUAGUAGUCGACAUUACACGAGCCGUCCUAGUGUCCCACGUGGAGGUGAAAAAAAUGCAGUUUUUGCUUGGAAACGCACCGAUGAACGCGAUACCAUCCAAAGCAAUCACCUUUGGAAUUCUUCACUUUAUCUCGUCGGAUACCAUCAAUCGCCUCGAAAUGCAAUGCAUGUAAAGGAAACGGACAUCACGAUGUGGCACGGUAGGGUGUACAAGAACAGGUGCAGCAGUGUUAAUAACAUGCGUUCUAAGAUUCAGGUGUAGGGCUUUCUUAUGGUUUGGGUAGGAUAAAAACACUACAGGACAGUGUAAAGUGGCUAAGCAUCUUCAUUUUUUUUAUCAAAAUGGGUUUCCCACCUCUCCAUGUUAUUGAUAAAAUGGGACACCGUAUCCAGGACAGUUCAUAGCAUCCAGGCCAACUUAGAGUAGCAGACCAGUAGAAAUAUAACCUACAUAGCAGUUAUGAAAUAAAAGUGGCCACGUAGGGCCAUGGAAUGACACAUCUGAACUGCGCAGUAGAAAAACUAGGAUCUACUAUCGCAAUCUUGCACACAACAGCUCAACCAGAGUGAGCCCUGUGAUAGAAGCCACCUAGUCCUCCCUACGCCAGCCGGGGCCUUCACUUCCAAGCUAUGCGUAAUAAUUCGCCUCUUCGACGGUCCAACGGCAGGUGACAGCGUCGGAGUAAGACUGAUUGGUGGGCCACACACAGGAUCUUCCAUUAUUUUUUGCAAAAGUGAGUUGGCCUUCCCUAGGAUAACGCGAGUGCUUAUCCAUGACACACCCUGAAAGCACAUUUGGUUACGCAUGGUCAAAAUGCUCCAAAUGGCAUUAACACGAGCAAUGUUAUCUUCUUAUUGUUAAGGCCCCAUAAGACAGACAACUCUAUCAUAUUAUGUGGCCAAUAGAAGCUAAAAGUAUCAUCAAAGUCUUUCCAAAUUUCCUUAGCAACAAUACAAUCAAAAAAUAGAUGAUGGAUAGUUUCAUUUUCACCAUAGAACAAGCAAGUCCCAUCAUUAACUUGUUGCCUCUUGCCAAAAUUAUCUCUAGUGAGGAUUUUGUUGUGGUAAGCUAGCCAUAUAAACACUAAGUAUCUAUGUCGAACAGGAAUUUUCCAAAAGUUCUUCUAAAUUGGGGUAGACCCCCCCCCCCCAAUUAAUCAUGUUAUAAAAGGAUGUUGCCCAGUACACUCCAUUAGAUUCAAGUGCCCACACAGGCAUGUCACUGUUGUCAUUAGGGAUAUGUUGAGAUAGUAACAACGUAAGAUCCUGCCACUUCCUACGGAAGUUCUCUUCAACACAGUGACUGACAGUAAGUUUUAAGUUUCACACCAUCCCAAACCUGGGCAACAGUACUAGUAUGUUUUGUUUGACAAAUGUAAAAAAUGUCCUAGGAUUUGGUUUUACAGGAAUCAGGCAGUUUUCCGUCUGGCAAGUACAGACGGCAAAGAGUGCCGGCAAAGCCGAAGUGGUAAAGAAUACAAUGUCGUCAGCUUUUCAUUGGGCAGACGGCAAAGAAUUUGCCAUCAACCAAACUGUGGAUUUGCCGUCUUCCCUCAAACCCACAGACGGCAAACAAAACUAUCUUUGCCGUCAGUAAUACUACAUGUUUGCCGUCCGCCCUUGAGCCCACAGAUGGCAAAUAUUUUUUAUAUUAUUAAAAAAACAUGGUUAUUCGUUUGUGUCAAUCCGUCCUGCGUUCAUGCCCCGUUCAUGUCUGUCAGUUCAUUGUUACUGUCAUGUUUGGUGUUCAUGUCCACAGCAGCAGUCGGAGCCGAACGGAGGAGAUGUUGGCUGCCCUGGCCGCGCCGCUCAACAGCACCAAUAGGAGGGAGGAGACACUGGCCGCCCUACCCGCAGUCUCCUCCUGCGCCGGCCCACAAAGGCCUCCCGCGCCGACCGCAACAGUCGUGCCCAGCUCAGCACGCUCGCCACUCGACCAUCGCCUGCUCGCACCGCUCGCACGUGGAUUGCUCGUGCCGCCCGCCUGCGCGUCGCCCGCAGCGGCCUCCCAUGCCGGCCGCCCUGCCCGUGCCGGCCCACAACACCACACCCGCCCGCGCCCUGCUAACGCCUCCCGCGCGUCACCGCCAGCGGGCCGUUCACCGCCGCCAAUGCGCAGCUCCAGCGCCGGACUUUGUCGCGCAUUGCAGCGGGAGAAGAAGGGACCGGCAGAGACGGAGCAGAGGAAGGGGGAGGCCGGAGGUCUGCCACAGUGGUGGGGGUUUGCCGGCCGGAGGAGCCGCGACUGGUGGCGCCCGCUAGUGGAUUUUGACACGGGCGAUGUGGUGGGGGUGGGAUAUGUGCGCGUUAGAGAGAGGGGGGGUAUGAGAGAGUGGUGGUGCCAGAGGAUAAGAUAGAGAGAUAUCGUCAAAGGUCGAGAACGUGCCAACAUGGUGUGCUCGGGCUAGGGAGAGAUCAGCGAGAGACGGAGUGGUUGUUGGGGAACGUAGUAAUUUCAAAAAAAUUCCUACGCACACGCAAGGAUCAUGGUGAUGCAUAGCAACGAGAGGGGAGAGUGUUGUCCACGUACCCUCGUAGACCGAAAGCGGAAGCGCUAGAACAACGUGGUUGAUGUAGUCGUACGUCUUCAUGAUCCAACCGAUCCAAGUACCGAACGUACGGCACUUCCGAGUUCAGCACACGUUCAGCUCGAUGAUGAUCCCCGGACUCCGAUCCGGCAGGGUUUCGGGGAAGAGUUCCGUCAGCAUGACUGUGUGGUGAUGGUGAUGAUUUUCUACCGACGCAGGGCUUCGCCUAAGCACCGCUACGAUAUGACCGAGGUGGAAUAUGGUGGAGGGGGGCACCGCACACGGCUAAGGAAAGACACGAAGAUCAACUUGUGUGUCAUGGGGUGCCCCCCUGCCCCUGUUUAUAAAGGAGGGAGGGGGGAGGUGCGUCCGGCCCCUAGGGGUGCGCCUGGAGGAGUCCUACUCCCACCGGGAGUAGGACUCCCUCAUCUUGCCUUGUUAGAGAAGGAAGGGGGAAGGGGGAAAGAGGAAAGGGGGGCACCGCCCCCCCCCCCCCCCCGGCCCCUUCCUUGUCCUAUUCGGAGUAGGGGGGAGGGGGCGCGCGGCCUGCCCUGGCCGGCCCUCCUCUUCUCCCUUAGGGCACAUGUAGGCCCAUUAACCCCCGGGGGGUUCUGGUAACCCCCCGGUACUCCGGUAAAAUCCCGAUUUCACCCGGAACGGUUCCGAUAUCCAAAUAUAGGCUUCCAAUAUAUCAAUCUUUAUGUCUCGACCAUUUCGAGACUCCUCGUCAUGUCCGUGAUCACAUUCGGGACUCCGUACAACCUUUGGUACAUCAAACACUAUAAACUCAUAAUAUAACUGUCAUCGUAACUUUAAGCGUGCGGACCCUACGGGUUCGAGAACUAUUUAGACAUGACCUAGAACUGUUACCGGUCAAUAACCAAUAGCGGAACCUGGAUGCUCAUAUUGGCUCCUACAUAUUCUACGACGAACUUUAUCGGUCAAACCGCAUAACAACAUACGUUGUUCCCUUUGUCAUCGGUAUGUUACUUACCCGAGAUUCGAUUAUCGGUAUCCAAUACCUAGGUCAAUCUCGUUACCGACAAGUCUAUUUACUCGUUACGUAAUACAUCAUUCCGUAACUAACUCAUUAGCUACAUUGCUUGUAAGGCUUAUAGUGAUGUGCAUUACCGAGAGGGCCCAGAGAUACCUCUCCGACAAUCGGAGUGACAAAACCUAAUCUCAAAAUACGCCAACUCAACAUGUACCUUUGGAGACACCUGUAGAUCUCCUUUAUAAUCACCCAGUUACGUUGUGACGUUUGGUAGCACACAAAAUGUUCCUCCGGUAAAUGGGAGUUGCAUAAUCUCAUAGUUGUAGGAACUUUGUAUAAGUCAUGAAGAAAGCAAUAUCAACAUACUAAAUGAUCAAGUGCUAAGCUAACGGAAUGGGUCAAGUCAAUCACAUCAUUCUUCUAAUGAUGUGAUCCCGUUAAUCAAAUGACAACACAUGUCUAUGGUUAGGAAACACAACCAUGUUUGAUUAAUGAGCUAGUAAAGUAGAGGCAUACUAGUGAUGUUAAGUUUGUCUAUGUAUUCACACAUGUAUUAUGUUUCCGGUUAAUACAAUUCUAGCAUGAAUAAUAAACAUUUAUCAUGAUAUGAGGAAAUAAAUAAUAACUUUAUUAUUGCCUCUAGGGCAUAUUUCCUUCAGUCUCCCACUUGCACUAGAGUCAAUAAUCUAGAUUACACAGUAAUGAUUCUAACACUCAUGGAGUCUUGGUGCUGAUCAUGUUUUGCUCGUGGAAGAGGCUUAGUCAACGGGUCUGCAACAUUCAGAUCCGUAUGUAUCUUGCAAAUCUCUAUGUCUCCCACCUGGACUUGGUCCCGGAUGGAAUUGAACCAUCUCUUGAUGUGCUUGGUCCUCUUGUGAAAUUUUGAUUCCUUUGCCAAGGCAAUUGCACCAGUAUUGUCAUAGAAGAUCUUCAUUGGUUCCGAUGCACUAGGUAUGAUACCCAGAUCGGAAAUGAACUCCUUUAUCCAGACUCCUUCAUUUGCUGCUUCCGAAGCAGCUAUGUACUCCGCUUCGCAUGUAGAUCCCGCCACGACGCUUUGUUUAGAACUGCACCAACUUACAGCUCCACCGUUUAAUAAAAACACGUAUCCGGUUUGCGAUUUAGAAUCGUCCGGAUCAGUGUCAAAGCUUGCAUCGACGUAACCAUUUACGACUGAAGCAUGGGAACAUCUUUCAUUUUCUCUCUAUCUUCUGCUGUGGUCGGGCAUUGAGUCUGACUCAACUUCACACCUUGUAAUACAGGCAAGAACCCUUUCUUUGCCUGAUCCAUUUUGAACUUUUUCAAAACUUAUCAAGGUAUGUGCUUUGUGAAAGUCCAAUUAAGCGUCUUGAUCUAUCUCUAUAGAUCUUGAUGCCCAAUAUGUAAGCAGCUUCACCGAGGUCUUUCAUUGAAAAACUUUUAUUUAAGUUUCCAUUUAUGCUAUCCAGAAAUUCUAUAUCAUUUCCAAUUAACAAUAUGUCAUCUACAUAUAAUAUCAAAAAUGCUAUAGAGCUCCCACUCACUUUCUUGUAAAUACAGGCUUCUCCAAAAGUCUAUAUAAAACCAUAUGCUUUGAUCACACUAUCAAAGCGUUUAUUCCAACUCCGAGAUGCUUGCACCAGUCCAUAAAUGGAACGCUGGAGCUUGCACACUUUGUUAGCACCUUUUGGAUUGACAAAACCUUCCGGUUGCAUCAUAUACAACUCUUCUUCCAGAUAUCCAUUGAGGAAUGCAGUUUUGACAUCCAUUUGCCAAAUUUCAUAAUCAUAAAAUGCGGCAAUUGCUAACAUGAUUGAGACAGACUUAAGCAUCGCUACGGGUGAGAAAGUCUCAUUGUGGUCAACUCCUCGAACUUGUCGAAAACCUUUUGCAACAAGUCGAGCUUUGUAGACAGUUACAUUACCAUCAGCGUCAGUCUUCUUCUUGAAGAUCCAUUUAUUUUCAAUGGCUUGCCGAUCAUCGGGCAAGUCAACCAAAGUCCAUACUUUGUUCUCAUACAUGGAUCCCAUCUCAGAUUUCAUGGCCUCAAGCCAUUUUACGGAAUUUGGGCUCAUCAUCGCUUCCUCGUAGUUCGUAGGUUCGCCAUGGUCAAGUAACAUGAAUUAGAAUAGGAUUACCGUACCAUUCUGGUGCGGAUCUUACUCUGGUAGUCCUACGAGGUUCAGUAGUAACUUGAUCUGAAGCUUCAUGAUCAAUAUCAUUAGCUUCCUCACUGAUUGAUGUAGUUGUCACAGGAACCGGUUCUUGUGAUGAACUACUUUCCAACAAGGGAGCAAGUACAGUUACCUCAUCAAGUUCUACUUUCCUCCAACUCAUUUCUUUCGAGAGAAACUCCUUCUCUAGAAAGGAUCCAAAUUUCGCAACGAAAAUCUUGCCUUCAGAUCUGUGAUAGAAGGUGUACCCAAUAGUCUCUUUUGGGUAUCCUAUGAAGACACAUUUCUCCGAUUUGGGUUCGAGCUUAUCUGGUUGAAGUUUCUUCACAUAAGCAUCGCAGCCCCAAACUUUAAGAAACAACAACUUUGGUUUCUUUCCAAACCACAGUUCAUAAGGCGUCGUCUCAACGGAUUUUGAUGGUGCCCUAUUUAACGUGAAUGCGGCCAUCUCUAAAGUAUAACCCCAAAACGAUAGCGGUAAAUCAGUAAGAGACAUCAUAGAUCGCACCAUAUCUAGUAAAGUACGAUUACGACGUUCAGACACACCAUUUUGUUGUGGUGUUCCGGGUGGCGUGAGUUGCGAAACUAUUCCGCAUUGUUUCAAAUGUAGACCAAACUCGUAACUCAAAUAUUCUCCUCCACGAUCAGAUCGUAGAAAAUUUAUUUUCUUGUUAUGAUGAUUUUCCACUUCACUCUGAAAUUUUUUGAACUUUUCAAAUGUUUCAGACUUGUGUUUCAUCAAGUAGAUAUACCCAUAUCUGCUCAAAUCAUCUGUGAAGGUGAGAAAAUAACGAUACCCGCUGCGAGCUUCAAUAUUCAUUGGACCACAUACAUCAGUAUGUAUGAUUUCCAAUAAAUCAGUUGCUCGCUCCAUAGUUCCGGAGAACGGCGUUUUAGUCAUCUUGCCCAUGAGGCACGGUUCGCAAGUACCAAGUGAUUCAUAAUCAAGUGAUUCCAGAAGUCCAUCGGUAUGGAGUUUCUUCAUGCGCUUUAUACCGAUAUGACCUAAACGGCAGUGCCACAAAUAAGUUACACUAUCAUUAUCAACUAUGCAUCUUUUGGCUUCAACAUUAUGAAUAUGUGUAUCACUACUAUCGAGAUUCAAUAAAAAUAGACCACUCUUCAAGGGUGCAUGACCAUAAAAGAUAUUACUCAUAUAAAUAGAACAAUCAUUAUUCUCUGAUUUAAAUGAAUAACCGUCCCGCAUCAAACAAGAUCCAGAUAUAAUGUUCAUGCUCAACGCUGGUACCAAAUAACAAUUAUUUAGGUCUAAAACUAAUCCCGAUGGCAGAUGUAGAGGUAGCGUGCCGACCGCGAUCACAUCGACUUUGGAACCAUUUCCCACGCGCAUCAUCACCUCGUCCUUAGUCCAUCUUCGCUUAAUCCGUAGUCCCUGUUUCGAGUUGCAAAUAUUAGCAACAGAACAAUACCCAGGUGCUACUGCGAGCAUUAGUAAGGUACACAUCAAUAACAUGUAUAUCACAUAUACCUUUGUUCACUAUGCCAUCUUUAUUAUCCGCCAAAUACUUGGGGCAGUUCCGCUUCCAGUGUCCAGUCUGCUUGCAGUAGAAGCACUCAGUCUCAGGCUUAGGUCCAGACUUGGAUUUCUUCUCUUGACCAGCAACUUGUUCGAUUUUCUUCUUGAAGUUCCCCUUCUUCUUCCCUUUGCCCUUUUUCUUGAAACUGGUGGUCUUAUUGACCAUCAACACUUGAUGUUCCUUCUUGAUUUCUACCUCCGCAGCCUUUAGCAUUGAGAAGAGCUCGGGAAUAAUCUUGUCCAUCCCUUGCAUAUUAUAGUUCAUCACGAAGCUCUUGUAGCUUGGUGGCAGUGAUUGAAGAAUUCGGUCAAUGACACUAUCAUCAGGAAGAUUAACUCCCAGUUGAAUCAAGUGAUUAUUAUACCCAAACAUUUUGAGUAUGUGUUCACUGACAGAACUAUUCUCCUCCAUCUUACAGCUAUAGAACUUAUUGGAGACUUCAUCUCUCUCAAUCCGGGCAUUUGCUUGAAAUAUUAACUUCAACUCCUGGAACAUCUCAUAUGCUCCAUGACGUUCAAAACAUCGUUGAAGACCCGGUUCCAAGCCGUAAAGCAUGGCACACUGAAUUAUCGAGUAGUCAUCAGCUUUGCUCUGCCAGACGUUCUUAACGUCGUCAGUUGCAUCUGCAGCAGGCCUGGCACCCAGCGGUGCUUCCAGGACGUAAUUCUUCUGUGAAGCAAUGAGGAUAAUCCUCAAGUUACGGACCCAGUCCCUGUAGUUGCUACCAUCAUCUUUCAACUUAGCUUUCUCAAGGAACGCAUUAAAAUUCAAUGGAACAACAGCAUGAGCUAUCUAUCUACAACAAACAUAGACAAGCAAAAUACUAUCAGGUACUAAGUUCAUGAUAAAUUUAAGUUCAAUUAAUCAUAUUAAUUAAGAACUCCCACUUAGACAGACAUCUCUCUAGUCAUCUAAGUGAUCACGUGAUCCAAAUCAACUAAACCAUGUCCGAUCAUCACGUGAGAUGGAGUAGUUUCAAUAGUGAACAUCACUAUGUUGAUCAUAUCUACUAUAUGAUUCACGUUCGACCUUUCGGUCUCCAUGUUCCGAGGCCAUAUCUGUAUAUGCUAGGCUCGUCAAGUUUAACCUGAGUAUUCCGUGUGUGCAACUAUUUUGCACCCGUUGUAUUUGAACGUAGAACAUAUCACACCCGAUCAUCACGUGGUGUCUCAGCACGAAGAACUUUGGCAACGGUGCAUACUCAGGGACACUUCUUGAUAAUUUAGUGAGAGAUCAUUAAAAUGCUACCAUCAAUCAAAGCAAGAUAAGAUGCAUAAAGGAUAAACAUCACAUGCAAUCAAUAUAAGUGAUAUGAUAUGGCCAUCAUCAUCCUGUGCUUGUGAUCUCCAUCUCUGAAGCACCGUCGUGAUCACCGUCGUCAUCGGCGCGACACCUUGAUCUCCAUCGUAGCAUCGUUGUUGUUUACGCCAUUUAUUGCUUCUACGACUAUCGCUACCGCUUAGUGAUAAAGUAAAGCAAUUACAGGGCGUUUGCAUUUCAUACAAUAAAGCGACAACCAUAUGGCUCCUGCCAGUUGCCGAUAACUUCGGUUACAAAACAUGAUCAUCUCAUAGAAUAAAAUAUAGCAUCACGUCUUGACCAUAUCACAUCACAACAUGCCCUGCAAAAACAAGUUAGACGUCCUCUACUUUGUUGUUGCAAAUUUUACGUGGCUGCUACGAGCUGAGCAAAAACCAUUCUUACCUACGCGUCAAAACCACAAUGAUAUUUCAUCAACUUAGUGUUGUUUUAACCUUCACAAGGACCGGCCGUAGCCACACUCGGUUCAACUAAAGUGAGAGAGACAGACACACGCCAGUCACCUUUAAGCAACGAGUGCUCGUAACGGUGAAACCAGUCUCGCGUAAGCGUACGCGUAAUGUCGGUCCGGGCCGCUUCAUCUCACAAUACCGCUGAACCAAAGUAUGACAUGCUGGUAAGCAGUAUGACUUGUAUCGCCCACAACUCACUUGUGUUCUACUCGUGCAUAUGACAUCUACGCAUAAGACCUGGCUCGGAUGCCACUGUUGGGGAACGUAGUAAUUUCAAAGAAAUUCCUACGCACACGCAAGGAUCAUGGUUAUGCAUAGCAACGAGAGUGGAGAGUGUUGUCCAUGUACCCUCAUAGACCGAGAGCGGAAGCGUUAGAACAACGCGGUUGAUGUAGUCGUACAUCUUCAUGAUCCAACCGAUCCAAGUACCGAACGUACGGCACCUCCGAGUUCAGCACACGUUCAGCUCGAUGACGAUCCCCGGACUCUGAUCCAGCAGGGUGUCGGGGAAGAGUUCCAUCAGCACGAAGGCGNNNNNNNNNNAGAGGAAAGGGGGGCGCCGCCCCCCUUCCUUGUCCUAUUCGGACUAGGGGGAGGGGGCGCGCGACCUGCCCUAGCCGGCCCUCCUCUUCUCCCUUAGGGCCCAUGUAGGCCCAUUAUCCCCCGGGGGGAUUCCGGUAACCCCCCGAUACUCCGGUAAAAUCCCGAUUUCACCCGGAACGAUUCCGAUAUCCAAAUAUAGGCUUCCAAUAUAUCAAUCUUUAUAUCUCGACCAUUUCGAGACUCCUCGUCAUGUCCGUGAUCACAUCCGGGACUCCGAACAACCUUUGGUACAUCAAACACUAUAAACUCAUAAUAUAACUGUCAUCGUAACGUUAAGCGUGCGGACCCUACUGGUUCGAGAACUAUGUAGACAUGACCUAGAACUGUUUCCGGUCAAUAACCAAUAGCGGAACCUGGAUGCUCAUAUUGGCUCCUACAUAUUCUACGAAGAUCUUUAUCGGUCAAACCGCAUAACAACAUACGUUGUUCCCUUUGUCAUCGGUAUGUUACUUACCCGAGAUUCGAUCGUCGGUAUCCAAUACCUAGUUCAAUCUCGUUACCGGCAAGUCUCUUUACUCGUUACGUAAUACAUCAUUCCGUAACUAACUCAUUAGCUACAUUGCUUGCAAGGCUUAUAGUGAUGUGCAUUACCGAGAGGGCCCAGAGAUACCUCUCCGACAAUCGGAGUGACAAAACCUAAUCUCAAAAUACGCCAACUCAACAUGUACCUUUGGAGACACCUGUAGAGCUCCUUUAUAAUCACCCAGUUAGUUGUGACGUUUGGCAGCACACAAAAUGUUCCUCCGGUAAACGGGAGUUGCAUAAUCUCAUAGUUGUAGGAACUUUGUAUAAGUCAUGAAGAAAGAAAUAGCAACAUACUAAACGAUCAACUGCUAAGCUAACGGAAUGGGUCAAGUCAAUCACAUCAUUCUUCUAAUGAUGUGAUCCUGUUAAUCAAAUGACAACACCUGUCUAUGGUUAGGAAACACAACCAUCUUUGAUUAAUGAGCUAGUCAAGUAGAGGCAUACUAGUGACGUUAAGUUUGUCUAUGUAUUCACACAUGUAUUAUGUUUCCGGUUAAUACAAUUCUAGCAUGAAUAACAAACAUUUAUCAUGAUAUGAGGAAAUAAACAAUAACUUUAUUAUUGCCUCUAGGGCAUAUUUCCUUCAAUGGUGGGGGUAGUCCUAGCCAUGGGCAGUCCAGGCCGAACGACUUGGCCCGACCCCACGUUACACCCAGGCCGUGCUCGGGCCUAGAUUUUGAGCCCGAAUGGGGGCCGGGCCCGCCGUUUUCGCGAUAUACUAAAGGGGACCGGCCCGCGGCCUGAGGCCCGUCGAGCUUUAUCACUUUCGAGCUGGGCUUGGGCCCAAAAACCAGGCCCGACGGCCGGGCCGGGCUCGGGCCUAUGAUUUUUGCCUCGGGCUUUGGUAGGCCCGACCCGGCAGAUGGCCGGGUAUAGGUGGGGGUGUGGCUGUGAUCGUCCUCAUCGAUCCGUGGGAUCAAUCCAUGGACUAUGUUUUCUCUUUGUCGUCUGNNNNNNNNNNNNNNNNNNNNNNNNNNNNNNNNNNNNNNNNNNNNNNNNNNNNNNNNNCAGACGGCAAAGAUCUUUGUCGUCUGUAUGUAUUUUUUCAGACGGCAAAGUGAGCUCUUUGCAGUCUGUAUUGUUUUUACAGACGGCAAGGUUUAUUUUGCCGUUACUUUUUCUUUGUCGUCUGCUGAUGACGGCAAACCCUUUCUUUGUAGUCUGCCCCGAUGAAAAUGCUGACGACAAAGAAAGUACUGACGACAAAUCUCCAUGUUUCCCGUACUGCUAAAGUUUCUGUGGUGAUCAAAUAGUUGAUUUUUUUACCACGUCAUUGGUUGUACUUGGGAUCGGAUAUAAGUUGUAGUUAGUUUUUUUUGUUAUGGAAUGUGAAUGUUUAUUCAAUAUUAGCUAUGAAAAGCAUUGUUCUGAAGAUCUUUACUUUUGACUGUAUUGGUGUGUUUCUUUCCACUUGGUGGGUGGUCCCUUACUAUGUAGAGACCAAACUAAAAAUUUAUAUAAAAGACACAUAUUUUCUUAUCUAAAUUUCCGUGACCAAAACAAUUUGCUUUUGAGAGCCUCAAGUUAUAUGACAAAUUUCAUCCUAAGGUACCAACAACACGCAUAUGCGACAACUUCUCUGACGUGGUGGUCCUCCGUAUGUAACGUCCAUUCACUGAAGAUCGUACCAUCAGUUACACGGCUGGACACCCACCUAUUGAACGAUUGGAUCAUUUUGGAAAAGCGCUUUAUAAUUUCAUUGUUGGUACUAAUCCCGGGGCGGGGUUACACCAGGAUGAUUUGAUUUCAACAUCCGAUGUCACUUAUGCUCUAUCUUGCCACAGUAGAGCUAUCUCAUGUCGUCGGUUGCAGCCAGUUAGAUCAUGUUUGGACUGUUGAGGUAUCCUGUGUGUCUUGCCACCAUAGGAUUCCAGUCGUAUCAGUGUCUUUUCAGUAAACCAUGUUCAGUGAGACUAAGAGAAUCCUCUCCGGAAUGUAGUACUAUAUCUUUUCCAUUUUACCUAUACGUUAUAUGUAAGGUAGUUAUGAAUGAAAGUCUUUUCCCUUUAUUUGCCUUCUCAUAUAAAUGGUAUGCCUGCAAAAUAUUCCAAUGAAUACAAUACGUCUGUCUCAACGGGUGCGGCGUGCCACCAUGCCGGGUUCGCUAGUAUUAGAGGAGAGGAGAAGAAAAGCAUCCAUUCCGAGGUGGUUUCACGAUUGGCAGGGUAAUUAAGGGGCGCGGCAGCGGACAGUGAGGUGGAUUGGCGGGCUUGCGGAGGCAUGCCACCAUCCCCCGAGCCAUCGAUAGCAAAAAGGUAAAAAUAUUAGAGGACGCUAAAAUAGACAAGGAGUUUACUGCAGCGUCCUCUAGCAUUAGAGAACAUUGCCUUCCUCUGAGCCGUCCAAAGCAAAAAAAAAAAAAUAGAGCAUGAAACUAGCGAAAUACUAGAGGAGUAAAUAUUACGUCCAGAAAAUAAAUUAAAAAGAUUGCCUUCCUGUGAGACGUCCAAAGCAAACGAAUAGAGCACAAAAUUAGCAAAAUUUUAGAAGAAAAAAUAUAUUGCGUCUAAAAAAUAUAUUAAAAAGUAGUAGUAAAAAGUGUAUAUUGAAAGAUCGCCUUUCUCUGAGACGUCCAAAGCAAAAGAAUAGAGCACUAAAUUAGCAAAGUAUUUGAAGGGAAAAUACUGUGUUGAAAAAAUAUGUUUAAAAAGACUAACAUCACACCGUACUUCUAACCCCCCGCACCUCCAAGUAAGGAGAGACUUAGGGUCACAGGCCGCCAGGACAGGCCCACCUAUUCACUGAAGAUCGUACCAUCAGUUACACGGGUGGACACCCACCUAUUGAACGAUUGGAUCAUUUUGGAAAAGCGCUUUAUAAUUUCAUUGUUGGUACUAAUCCCGCGUCGGGGUUACACCAGGAUGAUUUGAUUUCAACAUCCGAUGUCACUUAUGCUCUAUCUUGCCACAGUAGAGCUAUCUCAUGUCGUCGGUUGCAGCCAGUUAGAUCAUGUUUGGACUGUUGAGGUAUCCUGUGUGUCUUGCCACCAUAGGAUUCCAGUCGUAUCAGUGUCUUUUCAGUAAACCAUGUUCAGUGAGAAUAAGAGAAUCCUCUCCGGAAUGUAGUACUAUAUCUUUUCCAUUUUACCUAUACGUUAUAUGUAAGGUAGUUAUGAAUGAAAGUCGUUUCCCUUUAUUUGCCUUCUGAUAUAAAUGGUAUGCCUGCAAAAUAUUCCAAUGAAUACAAUACAUCUGUCUCAACGGGCGCGGCGUGCCACCAUGCCGGGUUCGCUAGUAUUAGAGGAGAGGAGAAGCAAAGCAUCCAUUCCGAGGUGGUUCCACGAUUGGCAGGGUAAUUAAGGGGCGCGGCAGCGGACAGUGAGGUGGAUUGGCGGGCUUGCGGAGGCAUGCCACCAUCCCCCGAGCCAUCGAUAGCAAAAAGGUAAGAAUAUUAGAGGACGCUAAAAUAGACAAGGAGUUUACUGCAGCGUCCUCUAGCAUUAGAGAACAUUGCCUUCCUCUGAGCCGUCCAAAGCAAAAAAAAAAAUAGAGCAUGAAACUAGCGAAAUACUAGAGGAGUAAAUAUUACGUCCAGAAAAUAAAUUAAAAAGAUUGCCUUCCUGUGAGACGUCCAAAGCAAACGAAUAGAGCACAAAAUUAGCAAAAUUUUAGAAGAAAAAAUAUAUUGCGUCUAAAAAAUAUAUUAAAAAGUAGUAGUAAAAAGUGUAUAUUGAAAGAUCGCCUGUCUCUGAGACGUCCAAAGCAAAAGAAUAGAGCACUAAAUUAGCAAAGUAUUUGAAGGGAAAAUACUGUGUUGAAAAAAUAUGUUUAAAAAGACUAACAUCACACCGUACUUCUAACCCCCCGCACCUCCAAGUAAGGAGAGACUUAGGGUCACAGGCCGCCAGGACAGGCCCACCUAUUCACUGAAGAUUGUACCAUCAGUUACACGGGUGGACACCCACCUAUUGAACGAUUGGAUCAUUUUGGAAAAGCGCUUUAUAAUUUCAUUGUUGGUACUAAUCCCGCGUCGGGGUUACACCAGGAUGAUUUGAUUUCAACAUCCGAUGUCACUUAUGCUCUAUCUUGCCACAGUAGAGCUAUCUCAUGUCGUCGGUUGCAGCCAGUUAGAUCAUGUUUGGACUGUUGAGGUAUCCUGUGUGUCUUGCCACCAUAGGAUUCCAGUCGUAUCAGUGUCUUUUCAGUAAACCAUGUUCAGUGAGAAUAAGAGAAUCCUCUCCGGAAUGUAGUACUAUAUCUUUUCCAUUUUACCUAUACGUUAUAUGUAAGGUAGUUAUGAAUGAAAGUCGUUUCCCUUUAUUUGCCUUCUGAUAUAAAUGGUAUGCCUGCAAAAUAUUCCAAUGAAUACAAUACAUCUGUCUCAACGGGCGCGGCGUGCCACCAUGCCGGGUUCGCUAGUAUUAGAGGAGAGGAGAAGAAAAGCAUCCAUUCCGAGGUGGUUCCACGAUUGGCAGGGUAAUUAAGGGGCGCGGCAGCGGACAGUGAGGUGGAUUGGCGGGCUUGCGGAGGCAUGCCACCAUCCCCCGAGCCAUCGAUAGCAAAAAGGUAAGAAUAUUAGAGGACGCUAAAAUAGACAAGGAGUUUACUGCAGCGUCCUCUAGCAUUAGAGAACAUUGCCUUCCUCUGAGCCGUCCAAAGCAAAAAAAAAAAAUAGAGCAUGAAACUAGCGAAAUACUAGAGGAGUAAAUAUUACGUCCAGAAAAUAAAUUAAAAAGAUUGCCUUCCUGUGAGACGUCCAAAGCAAACGAAUAGAGCACAAAAUUAGCAAAAUUUUAGAAGAAAAAAUAUAUUGCGUCCAAAAAAUAUAUUAAAAAGUAGUAGUAAAAAGUGUAUAUUGAAAGAUCGCCUUUCUCUGAGACGUCCAAAGCAAAAGAAUAGAGCACUAAAUUAGCAAAGUAUUUGAAGGGAAAAUACUGUGUUGAAAAAAUAUGUUUAAAAAGACUAACAUCACACCGUACUUCUAACCCCCCGCACCUCCAAGGAAGGAGAGACCUAGGGUCACAGACCGCCAGGACAGGCCCAGCCAGAAGUGCGUAGCGAAUGCUUUCGCCUCAGCAGAGCUGAUGAAUCAGCUUUGCGUCUUCGGCGAGGCAGAUCACAGCGCAAGCCUAUUUAAGCCGCGUCCUACCUCCUAAGGCGAGCGGUGUGGUACUAAACAUUGCAACAGACAGGAGCGCACUACGUUUUGUAACUCUUGUUCCUAACCUGGGCCGUCGUGUUCGGCCCAGCAGCUAGGCCUGCCCGUGAGGGACUACGCACGCGCUAGCAGGGAUUCAAUCUGGGGUUGCGCCGCGGCCGGCGGAAGUGGCGCAUGACCUCUGACGCCGCCGUAUUCGUGUUGCGCGGGAGGAGGUGCUGGUGGCUCCAUCGGGUUUGUCUCCUCCCGGCGUACCUCCUGGCGCCGGGAAUCGAGACCGGCGGCUGGAGCUCGGGAGGCGGGACAGGGUGUCCAAGACCCGAGGCUGCGCGCACUCCUCCAAGGGUCCUACGGGAGGUCUCCGACUACGACGGCAACUCCUACUCGGGCUCUGCUGGGCCGAUCAGUUCGUAUCAUUCAUGACAAAUUUUCUCUGGUCCGGGCUCUCCCGCUGGGCCGGCGACGCCAACUUGUGGGAGUGCGUGUCAUGGGAACGGCUACAAGUCAGGGUGGACACACGGUACUGUCUCUCACCGAGCCGACGUUUGGAGCGGCCGCCCGGCGUCUCUCAAGCCCGGGGUGGACCGAGAGGAUCCGCCGUGCUCACCUCAUCUGAGAGAAGAAUGCGCACGGGAGGUUGUUGGACGGCGCAGGGAGAGAUUCAGGCGACUCCAUGGUCGAGAUAGGCGACACUGAACACACGACAAGUCGACAACGACGGGAGGCGGUGGCGUCAGCCGUCAGCUAGGGCGGGAUUGUUGUCGUCGCCGGACCACGAUCGGCAACUGAACCUGACAGACUAACACACUGAAACUGAACACGAAAUAAGCAAGAGACAAUAGUUGAGCAUCCCACACUUCACGAGCGUCCCAGAAUAAAAGGAAACGAAAACCGAUCCUAAACUGAAUCUCCUGCGUCAUAUCCGAACAACUUUGACGUGGAGGUGGUCAUGGUAUGGGGCUGAGAUUAUUGGAUCUAACCCCGUUUCUCUAGCUCUUUCUUUUUUCCCUUCGGCAGAAUAUCUUUACCUAAUAACUACUCCCUCCGUUCCAAAAUAGAUGACUCAACUUUGUACUAACUUUAGUACAAAACUGAGUCAUCUAUUUUGGAACGGAGGGAGUAGCAAAAACGACCGUGCGUUACAACGGAAGAAAAACUAAAGGGGACCGCUAAAACUCAGUCGACUAAGUUUUAGCGAAGUCUCAGUCGAUGCCCCGGUUCGUUGGAUCGUUUCGAGAUUUAAACGAUCGCUGAUGUCUUGUAUUGAAGUAUCAGCCUGUUCUAGUGGUGCGACCGGCCCGUUAUCUUUUUCUUUUCCUUCCUUUUCGCCUUUUUGUCUGUGUUGGACAGGGAUACGCUAUGGGCUGACCGUGACGGGCGUUGUGUGCUUUUUCUUUGUUUUUUGCCUUUUCUUCUUUUUAGGCUUUCUUCUAGGCUGGGCUUUUUUCCGGUGCUAGUAUUUGCCUGGGGACAGGAGCGAGCAAUACGAUCCCAUUUUCUCCUGCUGGCCGUUCAUCUCUCUCACAUAGCCACAUGCAAGUUCGUUCAUCUCUCUCACAUGGCCACAUGCAAGUUUUUUUAACUAGACGUGGAAGACAAAGUCUGUGUGUUUUUGUUAUUGUAGUAGUCUAUAAACGAGCAUAUUCAUUUUUCAACAUUUUUACUAAUUUUUUUGUUGAAAGGGUCACAACGCGUCUAAAAACUAGAGAGAGGGAGCGCCAAUUGCACGUCCACACCCUGAGCUGCAUUUUCAUUUGGGCUAUAGCUUGUCUUGUGUGUGCCGCCGACGUCGGAGUAACGACAAGUAUUCAUUUUUAUUUUUUAUUUUUUUGGGUGCCAGUUGCAUUCCCAUUCCCUGAGUUGCAACUGCAUGCGGAUCAUGUCGACUAUAAUUGCAUAUCUGCCACUAGACUCGCAACUGCAAGGGUCGGCAUCCGACUGCAAUUCAUGUCCACCCCUGAGCUGCAUUUUCAUUUGGGUUAUAGCUUGUCUUGUGUGCCACCACCGGAGUGACGACAAGGAUGCUUUUUAUUUUUUAUUUUUUGGGUGCUGUUGCAUGCCCAUUCACUAAGUUGCAAUUGCAUGCGGGCCAUAUCGACUGCAAUCAGUGGUGGUGCCAGGAAUAAAAAUCAUGUGUAGUCACUUUAAAGUUGUGUAGUCAAAUAUAAUAAUUUUAUAGUUUUUCGCAUGAUUUAUACUUGAUGUAUUACGUUUUAUGCCAAAGAGCUGUGUAGUCAAGUGACUACACAGCCUAGACGUGGCUUAGCCACUGACUGCAAUUGCAUGUUUGUCACUAGACUCGCAAUUGCAAGUGUCGACACCCGACUGCAAUUCAUGUCCAUCACUGGCUGCAUUUUCAUAUGGGUUAUAGCUUGUCUUGUGUGCCGCCGCCGGCGGAGUGACGACUAGGAUUCAUUUUUAUUUUUUAUUUUUUGGGAGCUAUUUGUAUGCCCAUUCCCUGAGUAGCAACUGCAUGUGGGCCUUGUCGAUUGCAAUUGCAUGUCUGCCACUAGACUCGCAACUGCAAGUGUCGACACCCAACUACAAUUCAUGUCCACCCCUGAGCUUAAAUUUUCAUAUGGGUUAUAGCUUAUCUUGUGUGCCGCCGCUGCCGGGGUGCCGAUAAGGAUGCAUUUUUGGGUGCCAGUUGCAUGCCCAUUCCGUAAGUUGCAACUGCAUGCGGGCCAUGUUGACUGCAAUUGCAUGUUUGUCACUAGACUCGCAACUGCAAGUGUCGUCAUCCGACUGCAAUUCAAGUCCACCCUGGCUGUAUUUUCAUAUGGGUUAUAGCUUGUCUUGUAUGUCGCCGGAUUCAUUUUUAUUUUUUAUUUUUUGGGAGCCAAUUGUAUGCCCAUUCCCUGAGUUGCAACCGUAUGCGGGCCUUAUCGAUUUCAAUUGCAUGUUUGCCACUAGACUCACAACUGCAAGUGUUGACACCCGAAUGCAAUUUAUGUCCACCCUCGAGCUUAAUUUUUCAUAUGGGUUAUAACUUAUCUUGUGUGCCGCCGCCGGGGUGACGAUAAGGAUGCAUUUUUCGGGUGCCAAUUGCAUGCCCAUUCCCUGAGUUGCAGUUGCAUGCGAGCCAUGUCGACUGCAAUUGCAUGUCUGCCACUAGACUCGCAAUUGCAUGUGUUGGCAACCACUUGCAAUUCAUGUCCACCCCUGAGCUGCAUUUUCAUAUGUGUAUAGCUUGUCUUGUGUGCCACCACCGGAGUGACGACACGGAUGCAUUUUUGUUUUUAAUUUUUUUGGGUGCCAAUUGCAUGCCCAUUCCCUGAGUUGCAACUGCAUGCGGGCCAUGUCAACUGCAAUUGCAUGUCUGCCACAAGACUCGCAAUUGUGAGCGUCGGCACCCGAUUGCAAUUCAUGUCCACCCCGAGCUGCAUUUUCAUAUGGAUUAUAGCUUGUCUUGUGUGUCACCGCCGCCGGAGUGACAAUAAGGAUGUAUUUUUAUUUUUGUUGGGUGCCAAUUGCAUGCCUAUUCCUUGAGUUGCAACUGCAUGCGAGCCAUGUAGACUGCAAUUGCAUGUCUGCCACUAGACCCGCAACUGCGAGUGUCAGUAUCCGACUACAAUUCAUGUAGAGCCCCUGAUCACGCCAUCACACAAAUCACUGAGGGUGGGUUUUCUAACUCGUUUAGUCCCACAAUUGCAUGUCGACCUCCUGGACAUGUGAUGCCAUGCGCGGCUCUUCCAACAUGGUUGAACUGGACUUCUGUUUUUUCAGAGGGCAUCGGGAGAGGGGGUGCAAUUGCAUGUGUACACUAGCCUUGCAACUGCAAGCACCGUCCCCUACUGCAAUUGCAUGUCUUCCAAUACGAUGAACUGUACUUUUUUUGCUCGGGGUGUAGUUGCAUGCGUACACUAGGCAUGCAACUGCAAGUGUCACCCCUCGACUGCAACAACAUGUCUUUUCAACAUCGCUGUAUCUAGACUUUGUUUUGUUGGAAGGGACAACGGGAAGUCGCACUGGUGUGGCCUUGGAUCUCUCAACUCACUGGAAUGUGGCCCCAAUCCUCAACUUCUAACGUUCUCCUAGAAAUAUCCAGCCGUCACUGUUUAAAUUUAGACACAGAGAGGGGNNNNNNNNNNNNNNNNNNNNNNNNNNNNNNNNNNNNNNNNNNNNNNNNNNNNNNNNNNNNNNNNNNNNNNNNNNNNNGGGGGGGGGGAGGAUGAGAGAAGGUCGUACAUGGGGUCCAUACCUCAGGUGUCUGCGAUGCAGGUCGUCGGCGUCGAGAUCCAUGGGCACACUGGUGCAACUCCAGCCUACUCGCGCCCUGCAGAGCAUGUAAUCAACCUACUUGCCCAAGUAAAUCAAUCCCCGUCGUUGUGUCUGUGCGCCGAAAUUCAGCACCCCUACCUUAAUUUUUUCUCUAGGGUUCACCUAUGUGUGACAAAAUUACCAUUCAUAGAGAUGUCCCAACGCAAGAGAGUAGCCCAAAUGUCAAAGUAGUGACUAAGGUGCCAAUGAUUUUUUUUUUGUUCUGCCUGUGUUGAGUUUUUGCUCGGGCGGAGCCCAAAUUUUGGAUGCUCCGAAAUGGAGGGUUCCCCAUUUUUCUUGGGCAGUUUUCAAUGUGUCUAAUAUGAAAUGAAGUGGCUGAAAAAUUUCAAAGUAGCUUCUGAUCGCUUUUUUAAGUAGCCGCCGUCAGGUUCUGAGCACCUCUGAUUUUGUUAUAACUGGUGAACGGAGCUGAUUGUAUUCACUAAUUGAACCCAACUCUAACCAAAGUGCGCACACACACACAGACCAAGCUGACUUGUGCAUGCAAACAAGACAAACAAACAAACAGGGAACCGAAGGAAUUCUCGUCGUUUAGGUACAGAAUAGCUUUUUUAGCUGUCUCUUUCUGGGCUGUAGUUUUUUUUUUUCAUUUUAGCAAAAAAACCAAACAAACAAACAGCCCAAACCAAUAAAAAGACAAAGAAAAGCCCAGAACUGAAGCCCAUAACGGGGGGAUUAUAACCCACUAUCCAGGGAGGCAAAACGGGCCAAAUCAUCUCUAGGUGACAUCAUUCGACUGAGACUUUGCGAAGUCUCGGUCGACUGAUUCCUAGACACACCCAAAACUAAAAGAACACAACAAGCAACGCGCGAAAAUCAGGCUUGAAGGCAUAUAUGUUCUUAUUAGCCAUACCCGCGCGAGCGGCACGCUGCGCCUCAUCGAUAUGGUACAUGUAUAUGUCCUAUUUUCAGUGUAUAAAAACUGCAAAAAUUAGUGUGCAUAGAAACUACAAGACAACUAUGCUCAGCAGGGAGAUGAACCAGCGCAAGAACACAUACACACCAUGCACGGACAUGUAUGAACACGGAGCCAUCGUACAUCAAGAAGAUUAUACUCGCCCAAACACGCUGGCCUCGAUGAUGAGCCUGCGAUUGGGCUACCAACACAACACAUCUAAGCUCACCACCACCAUCUCUUCUACGACCAUGGUGUCAUGGACACGGAACUGCCCCAUCUCCAUCUCUGACGUGCCUUCCUCCCAUCACUCCAUCGCCAUCCGCACGGUCCACAGUUCUUGCCCAUCAACUUGCAUGCUUCAUCGCUGCCGGAUAUGAUGCACACGGCCUGGCGCAACACCACAUGGGCCUCCGUCGACGGGAGCAGAUGGAGAAACAGAGAAAGCCAUGUCCGACUCCAACGACAACGUGCGGUCCAGGGUUGUUGCCGAGUGCCUGACACAUCGUAGGGCGGAUGCCGCGAUGCUCUACCUGUCAUGUUACCGCCGCGCCCAUGCUACGCUGCAGCGCUGUAGGCUGUAGCCUCCGUCCGCCGCUGCACCACUCCGUUUCUCUGCUUGAUCUACGAUUUUGAGGAGCAAAAGCAUGUGGAGCUGGUGCAUCUGCCACUGCUAAACGACCGUGGCAUGGUGGAGGGCGUGGAUGGCUACACCGGUUGCCCCUCGGCGGCGGACCUCGCGGUGAUCCUCGGCGUUGUCGACGACAAGACGGCUAGCAGGCUGGCCUCGAGCUUGUCCGGCGCCGCUCAGCAUGGAAGUCCGCAGGAGGCGCUGAGACAACACUGUCAUCGUCGUGUCUCAGGAAGAACGAAGGGGCACUGCUAUGGAGAGCUAUCGGCAAGCAGAACAAGGCCUAGAACUGCUGCUACGGGCUCCAUGCUGAGUGGGGGAGAGGCUGGGAAAGAAAUGAAGCGGCCUAAUGGCUGCGGUCGAGAGACGACUGGCAGCGAGCAGAUAGAGGCAACAAAGAAAAGGCAGCCCGCAUGUUAGGAUGAGAAGACCGCGCGAGGCGAGACAAACGGGUUUUAG